Molecule: unclassified non-coding RNA, 347 nt
Filed under: fungal sp.
Lineage: Eukaryota; Fungi
Description: partial internal transcribed spacer region
Rfam family: Eukaryotic small subunit ribosomal RNA (bases 1-46)
Source: RNAcentral
AAGUCGUAACAAGGUUUCCGUAGGUGAACCUGCGGAAGGAUCAUUAAUAAUCUUCAACUUUAGCCUUUACAAGCUAUACUGAAAUUAUCCUUUCAACAACCUGUGAACUUAUUGAAAAGCACUCUGCUUAUCUCUAGCCCUCUUGCCUUCUUCUCCUUGCGAGAGUGGGCAGGUUUAUGCUAGAGUGUAGCACUUUUUCAACACCAUUUACCAUAUUUAAACCAUGUCAAGUCUGAUCAUAAAGUGUGAAAAGCAUAUUUGCCCUUGGGCAAUAGUUUAAGCAUACUUGUCUUUUUAAGUAAAGCAAGAACCUAAAACAACUUUUAACAAUGGAUCUCUUGGCUCCU